This 935-nucleotide unclassified non-coding RNA is filed under the name Hevea brasiliensis (rubber tree). The record is from RNAcentral. Lineage: Eukaryota; Viridiplantae; Streptophyta; Magnoliopsida; Malpighiales; Euphorbiaceae.
AAAUAAUAUUGCUGCUGUUGGUGAACAUGAUGCCAAGAGAGUGAUGUUGGAGCAAAGUGUUGAAGGAAUAUCAGAAACUGAUAUUGAUUCUGAUAGAAUUGAGUCACGUUCAUUAUUUGUCAAGAACCUGAAUUUCAAGACAUCUGAUGAAAGUUUGAAAAAGCACUUUGGUGAACACAUGAAGGAGGGGAAGAUCUUAAGUGUCAGGAUAAAGAAGCAUUUAAAAAAUGGGAAGAAUGUUUCAAUGGGUUUUGGUUUCAUAGAGUUCGAUACUGUGGAGACGGCAACAAAUGUUAGUACAGAUUUACAGGGAACUGUUUUGGAUGGGCAUGCUCUUAUCUUGCAAUUGUGCCAUGCCAAGAAGGAUGAACAAGUGGGGAAAAAAGUUGACAAAGAUAGGAGUUCUACAAAAUUACUUGUGAGAAAUGUAGCUUUUGAGGCAACCGAGAAAGAUCUUAGACAGCUAUUUAGCCCAUUUGGCCAGAUCAAGAGCUUAAGGUUGCCAAUGAAAUUCGGAAACCACAGAGGCUUUGCAUUCGUGGAGUAUGUUACAAAGCAAGAGGCACAGAAUGCACUUCAAGCACUUUCAAGCACCCAUCUGUAUGGUCGACAUUUGGUUCUGGAGAGAGCAAAGGAAGGAGAGAGCUUGGAAGAACUAAGGGCCCGAACAGCGGCUCAAUUUAGCGAAGAGCAAAAUGUUUUGCAUAAUCCUACAAAGUUAUCAAAGAAAAGGAAGCAUAUGGCGGUCUUGGAUGAAGGAACAAUGAAAUUUCAAAGAAUAGCCGAUUAAUGCUUUUACCAAUAUUCUCAUGUAUUAUGGAAGACAUGAAUAAGGAUUUGCUAUGUUUAUAGGUUAUAGAUUAAUUUCACAUUAUGCUGGCCCCGAUUUUGCUUCUUAGAAGCUGGUUCCUGUCUACUGCUAUGUUGUUCAAAUG